GGCAGAGGAAUGGCUGUUCAAAACAUGAGAAUGAGAGAGAAGCUUAAAUACAAUCUUUACUACCAAUUGAUCAUUGGACAAUCCCUGAAGACUACCAGCAAAAGCUCCGGCAAGAAAUCUGAUUAUCCGACCAACUGAGUACUUCCUCUUCAUCUUCCUGUUGGCUGUUGAAGUGUUGCAUUGAGGUAACAAACCCACAAUUUAUUUAUUUUUUCUUAAGAAAAAUAAAGAAGAAGGGGCGGCCACUUGUUUGAAGAUGACUGGUUUUGUUGGCCAAAUUCCAUUAUUUAAGUAGUCACUGAUUUUAAUUUAUUUAUUAGAAAUAUAAUUUUUUUUUUCAUAUAUAUAAAUACAUUUGAUCUGAACAGAAUUGUAGGCCCUCCCAUUGAAUGAUCAAACCUGAAUUUUACGGGAUGUUGUGCCAACAUGGAAAAUUGAAUAGCUAUAUAUACAUAUAAAGUUGUUAGGCUGGCUGGUGACUUUCAAUUUGUCAAUUUCUUUUGCUUUUGUAGUCGGUAAUUGGUAUUUCCAAAAUCCAGACUUCCGGUGACAAUGUAGUGGGGUGGAUUUCAGGAUUUGUAUGAGGAUUUUCCAAUUUUAUAUUGUUAUUUAAUAUUUAUAUUUCUUAAUGAUCUUCUAGGAUGUUGUUUUUUGAUUUAUUUUGAUUCAACUGUUAUCUCUUCAAUAAUCGCUUUACAAGAGGCACGUAACACAGUCUAGAUCAAGUUUGUGAGUUCUGGCUAAUGGGUCUUGGUGCCUUAGGUAGUCUAAAUCGUAUAAAUAGGUUAUAGGUGCAUGUUGAGAAGGACGAAAUGGAGGUGAAUUACUAGAUUUUACUUAAGAUCUCUUUUUACUUUUCACAAUGAGAUUUUUACAGUUUGACACUUGAAGAUGAAGUUCACAUUAGUUGCCACUAAUUGGAAUGGUAAUUUUUCAAAAUUUAGAAGGCAAAUCUCUUGGGUUGCGUGAGAAGUUUUAUUUUGCUACUUUAUCUUUUGAAUUGUAUAAAGUCUUCUUUUAAAUAUAAACGUGUUAAUUAUUUAAAUAUUUAAAUAGUAUUACACUUGUAGAAUAAAAUAUUAUGUUGAAGAGCCUCGUAAUAAUUAAUCGCCUAGGACCUCUAAAUUCUCAAGGCCGACACUGUUUAUCUUCUCUAGAAAACCCAUCAAUUUUGGGUCUAUAUUGUUCAAAUAAAAUGCUUAAUCAAUUGAAUGCUCGAAAAAUAUAGUGUGGGAUACUGGACUGCAUAGGAAAGGCUGGCUAGCACGUUGAAAUUUUCCUUUGACCUUAAAAUUUUCUUUCCAUUUUUUUCACCAAUAUUGGCAGCUGCAAUCCUUUUGUCUGUAACCCUCUUUUGGGGCUGGACAUGAUUCGGUUUGAGAAUCGAAUCUGACACGAAAUUUUCGGGUAUUUAAUAAGUGGAACUAUUGGCUCCAAAUUUAAUUAUGAAAUCAUUCGGGUUCGGUUUGGUUUCAUUCGAUUUUCGGGUGACGUACUAUAAUUAAAUUUUUUAAAAUUUACAAAACUACAUUAAUUCAACUAAUUAAAUAUUCAAUUUUAGUUCUUACAAAAUAAUAUAAUUCAAUCUUAUUUGUCCUUUGCAUUUCUCUUUAUUGAGUUUUUCAUAGAUUUGAUUGUUAAAAUCACAGGAAGAGAAAGAUAGCGAGUUCACAAUAAUUAAGAGAAAUGUUAUCAAGCUUCAAUUCGAUAUCUCCAGAACAGUAAAAACAACACUAUUAUAGAAUAACAGAUUUCAAUAAAAUUUAAGUCAAUUUGAUUAAGUUGGAAUUGGAUUAAAAAUUAGAAAUAGAAAAAUCAUAUUUUAAGUUUGAGUUAAAUUAAUUAGUUAGCAAAUUUAUUUAGAAAAAAUAAAAGAAUUUGCCUUAUUUAAAAUAAAUAAAUUAAAAAAAGUAGGGUGAUUCGGUUCUUUAGUUCGAAGCCCGUCAAUUCUCGAUUCAAACACCCGUUCAGGUAUUUAACUUAAGAAGAACUACUCAUUCGGUUCAGUUCAAGACUAAUCCGAUUCGAUCGGUUCAAUUUGAGAGUUUUGUCCAGCCCAACCCUCUUUGCUGGAUAUCACCUCCAGUUUUGCAUUUUCUUUAGAAAAUUUGCACAAUUGUCUUUCACUUAUAGCAUUGAUGGUGAACACAUCCUCAAACUAUACACGAGAAGUUUUAGUCUCCAACAUCUAUCAAGUGUCAACGAGAAUGAGCUUUUUGAUGGUAAUGAAUGUUUUGGUGGUCAAAGUUCUGUAAAAAGUCCUUAACGGCUCUUUGUCCUCGUAAUAAAUUUUUUUGACUCUGACUCUGCCACAGCCCAUAGUAUAUUUAGCUAAGCUUGACAGGUUUACUUAUUAGUAGAUGAGAAAUUUAUUUACGUUCUAUUUUGUACAAUUACAUAUGAAUUACUUCAAAAUAAUUUUUUUUUUCCCUAAAGUAAGAAAAUAACUUAUCUAAACAUGUCUAGGAUCAGAUGUUAGCAAUAACUUUUACCUACUGAUUUUCCAAACAUGCUUUGCACAUUAUAUGACACGACAAAGUUUUCAUCCAAAAUUAUUUUACCUCUCUUGUAAAUUGACGGGUGCACAAUAAAGGAUCCUACAAAUAUAUCUUAAGAAAUUAAUAAAUUAUGUAUGCCUGUAAAAUGUACAUAAAUGAGUUACAAUGUAGAAGCUUAGAUAGAGAUGCUCUCAAACUCUAGCAAGAGAAACACUCACUAGAGUUUCCUCAUGCAUUGUGGGCUCAUUCUUCUUUGUCGGAAUUUACUUUCCUUGGCAUUUUUGAAUUUAGAACUGCAGAUUUUAUUAAAAUCUAUUCAGAUUCAUAUAUUUUUUAGUUUUGUGGAUUUCAAGUUCUUGGAGCCUCAAUUUCGCCAAAAUGACAGGUUUUCUUGGGUGUUUUGAAACUUUUACUUUGGUCAGAUUCAUACAUCAUUCGUCCAGAAAAAUCAGAGCUUUGCUCAUCCUUCUAUUUAGAUGUUCAAGUUUUCUUUGUCUCAUUAGAAGACUCGAUAAGAGUAGUUUCUUGGAGCUUCUCUUUCUUUAAAAAUUCUUAGAAGUAUUGAAGACCGUCCACGGGAUCGGGUAUUAUUAUCAGUGUAAUUUCAAAGUUGCAUGCUUUGUUAAAGCUCAAGUAGCACUUCAGUUUGGCCAGUUUGUUCAAAAGAAAGGGACAAUUUCAAUUUUGGUUGAUUUUGGCUGGCAGCUAGUUUAGACUCCUUACAGAUCAGCUGCCACUGCAACUCGUUCGAGGUAGGUACUCACUUCACCAUCCAGCUACCUGCUUAUUGGACUCUCUUCGUUCGUUGGCAAUGUUUUGGUUGUUCAUCCAGCCAGCAUAUUGUUGGUAUUGCUUUUCAAAAUUCAUGGUGUUCUUGGCAUUUUGAUAUCGUGCAGAUUUUAAUCUUAUUUUGAUUUCCCAAGUUUUGGCCAAGCCGUGUAUUACUUGUUUGGACAAUUUAGUCAAAUUUCUUUUGAUAAUUUGAAUUAGUCAAAUAGAUCACGCAGUAUUUCCGCAAGGAAUAUGAUGUUUGUCCAGGCUUAAAGACAGGGAAGAAAAAACAGACUGAUUUAGCG
This 3574-nucleotide long non-coding RNA is filed under the name Olea europaea subsp. europaea. Lineage: Eukaryota; Viridiplantae; Streptophyta; Magnoliopsida; Lamiales; Oleaceae. The record is from RNAcentral.